Molecule: ribosomal RNA, 225 nt
Filed under: Listeria monocytogenes
Lineage: Bacteria; Bacillati; Bacillota; Bacilli; Caryophanales; Listeriaceae
Description: partial 16S ribosomal RNA
Rfam family: Bacterial small subunit ribosomal RNA
Source: RNAcentral
UAUUUUAAAGAGAGUUUGAUCCUGGCUCAGGACGAACGCUGGCGGCGUGCCUAAUACAUGCAAGUCGAACGAACGGAGGAAGAGCUUGCUCUUCCAAUGUUAGUGGCGGACGGGUGAGUAACACGUGGGCAACCUGCCUGUAAGUUGGGGAUAACUCCGGGAAACCGGGGCUAAUACCGAAUGAUAAAGUGUGGCGCAUGCCACGCUUUUGAAAGAUGGUUUCGG